This 334-nucleotide unclassified non-coding RNA is filed under the name soil metagenome. Its description in RNAcentral is "partial contains 5.8S ribosomal RNA, internal transcribed spacer 2, and large subunit ribosomal RNA". The stretch from base 1 to 120 matches the Rfam family "5.8S ribosomal RNA", at positions 35 to 154 of the family's 154-position model. The record is from RNAcentral.
GAUGAAGAACGCAGCGAAAUGCGAUAAGUAAUGUGAAUUGCAGAAUUCAGUGAAUCAUCGAAUCUUUGAACGCACAUUGCGCCCGCCAGUAUUCUGGCGGGCAUGCCUGUUCGAGCGUCAUUUCAACCAUCAAGCCCUGCUUGCGUUGGGGUCCUGCGGCUACCCGCAGGCCCUGAAAACCAGUGGCGGGCUCGCUAGUCACACCGAGCGCAGUAAUACAUCUCGCUUUGGGCGUGCGGCGGGUUCUUGCCGUUAAACACCCCCUUUUUACCAAGGUUGACCUCGGAUCAGGUAGGAAUACCCGCUGAACUUAAGCAUAUCAAUAAGCGGAGGA